Molecule: non-coding RNA, 3349 nt
Organism: Peromyscus maniculatus bairdii (prairie deer mouse)
Lineage: Eukaryota; Metazoa; Chordata; Mammalia; Rodentia; Cricetidae
Source: RefSeq, a predicted model, not a curated record
GGUCAGCCGGACCGGACCGCGGACUAACACACACACAUCAGCCCGACCGGACCGCGGACUAACACACAGGUCAGCCGGACCGGACCGCGGACUAACACACAAGUCAGCCCGACAUCAGCCGGACCGGACUGCGAGCUAACACACACAGGUCAGCUGGACCGGACCGCAGGCUGACACACAGAUCAGCCCGACCGGACCGCGGACUAACACACAGGUCAGCCCGACAUCAGCCCGACCGGACCGCGGCCUGACACACACAGAUCAGCCCGACCGGACCGCGGGCUAACACACACUGAUCAGCUUGACCUGACCUCGGGCAAAUGGCAGGCUAACACAGGUGCGCGCUAACACAGGUCAGCCUGGCCCUCGGGCAUGGACUGUGUUUACGGGAACUUUCACUAACCUGCCUUAUUUGGCUUCCGAAGCCGCAAGGCUUUCUGCUUCCGGAUCAAACAGAGACACUGUGGCGACACAACUGUGCCUUUUUCUUAUUAAAAAGUUAAUAACCUGCUCUACUUACCGACAGCUGCAUCAGCGGGAAAUGCCGAACUUGUGGUUUUCAGCGGUGCCAAGUCUGUGUGGCUCAUAAAAACCUCAAAUUCAUUAAGGGUUCAUCCUGGCCUCCUUCUCUUGGUUGAGAGUACCCCAUUUUCAACUUUUGGGCGCUUGUCCAGGGUUGGUACUCCCCUCACACCCCAGGAGUGCUCCAGGAUUGGGGCGAGUCUGCUCCAGUCUGAUCUUCCUCCUGGUGAACGCGUGCUCUUCUGGUAAUCUUCGUUCAGAAGCGAUCAGAGAUUCCAGGCCCUGGGGACACCUCAGCAGUCUUCGGGAAGGGCGAUUCCAUUAGUCUGAGGUCCUCUAGAUAAACUGAUUGGUCUAAGUGUCUGAGGAAAUCGUGGUGGCCACUUGUGGUUUGUCUACUUUCUUGUAUUUCUCACUUUUCUUAUCUGUGUCUGUUCAAGCCUGUCUGUCACUUUCUACCUUCCGCUGUCCAAGGGGACAUUUGCCUUCUUUGCCACCCUCUGGUCAGUCCCUUUUUGCCUUUGAAUGGACUGACCCUAAAACUAGCCAAUUGACUUGGACCUGCUUGCUACAAGGGUUCAAAAAUUCACCCACUCUGUUCAUUGAGGCCUUAGGGAGAGAAAGACCUGGCUGCCUAUUGGGCAGAUCACCCAGAACUCCGGUAGAGACACCACCUUUGACCUCCUGAGUCUUCUGGGAAAACCGGGUUACCAAUGUCAGCUAAGAAGGCCCAAAUUUGCAGACAACUGGUCACCCAUUUCGGAUACCAACUAACCCAAGGUAUUGCCAGACAGCUGUGGGCAAUGGCCCCCACCUGCCGCCUGCAGGCCAGCUGCUCCCUGCCCCCAGGGCUGAUGGACAGGCCUGAGAAGACCAGUGCUUCCCCACCACAUGUGGAAUGGUUACCAAAAUGACCCACUGCAAAGAUGCCUGCACUGUGAAAGCUAGGCAACAGGAGGAAGUUUUCAGGGAUAAUUGCCCUAAGCGUGCCGAGUGGCUGUGGUCCCUGCAUAAGGCUGUGCAAGCGUAGCCAACUGCUAGACAAGGAAGUACUCGGCAAGGUGAUCUCCUUCUGCCUGUGAGCUCCAUUCUCCCUUGGGUAGAUGGCUGCAAGCCAAAUACAAGGGGCCAGGCCUCCCACUCAACUGCUUGGGCUUAUCAUCCACCACAAAUGCAAACCAACCACACAGUGUAGCUCAGGCUGCAAGUCCGCCAACUCAAGAAACCCGCCCUGUGGAACCCAGGACCAACACCGACCACAUCCCAGCUGGGGCCGGAAUCCAAUACACCCUCUCCUCGGGCGGGGCUCUGCUUAGGAAGGCAGCAACCUGAGCAGCCACUUCUCAAGGUUGUGAGUCUCCCGUUCACGGCCUAGCUGCACAAAAGCUUCCAAGAAAAGAUGGCACUCCAACAGGGCAGAUCUGGCCUUCCAACUUCACACUCAGUGCCUUCCGUCAGCGUGCAGACCACCUGAUCAGCAUCCCCCAGGCCACACGUUUAUUUUAGAAAACGGUGACGCCACUUCUAAUGUUUACCUGACAAUUAAACUAACAGUGAUGCUGCCUCGGAUCCAGUCAAAGGCCUGAUGCACUGUGGCACUUUGUCCCCAGACCCUCUAAUGUCUUGCGUUUUUUGGUUUAUUUUUUAUUUUUACAUGUAUGAGUGUUUGUCUGCAUUCAUGACGUGUGUACCACAUACAUGUCUGGUGCUCAUGGAAGCUAGAAGAGGGAGCUGGAUCCCCAGGAACUAGAGUUACAGAUGGUUGGGAGCCGACAUGUAGGUGCUAGGAAUUAAACCUACGCCUGUGCAGGAGCAGCCAGUACUGAGCUUUGUCUCCAGUCCCUCUCAUUUUAAUUUUAAGCCACCUGGAAGCCUCUACAAACAAACUGAAUUUUAAAAAAAAACAAAAAAAACUUGCUUGUUUGAGUCAAGGUCACCUUGUGAAGACCAGGCUGUCCUGGAACUCCCGGCAAUCUUCCUGUCUCAGUUUCCUGAAUGUUGAGAGGACAAGCUUGCAUUCAUGCUAGACCCAAAUACUUUUCUAAAAAAGUGGUCACAUGCAGGGCUGGAGAGAUGACUUAGUGGUCAAGAGCAUUGGCUACUCUUCCAGAGGACCUGGGUUCAAUUCCCAGCACCCACAUGGUAGCUCACAACUGUCUGUAACUCCAGUUCCAGGGGAUCUGACACCUUCACCCAGACACACAUGCAGGCAAAAUACCAAUGAAACAUAAAAUAAGAAUAAAUAAAUUAUUUUAAAAUGUUUUUAAAAAAAGUGAUCACAUGCAAAAUUGCAGAGUUAAAGCAGCAAGUGGCUGAGAUGUGCCUGGGAGGCAGGCGGGAGGCCCUGCGAGACUGCAUCUGACCUCGUGACCAGGCUUGUUUGGGAGGUUGAAUCCAUCCUUGCAAGCUGCAGGAAUGGGGAUGCUGAUGCAGUGAUGGAGGAGCCCGUGGAUGACGAUAAAGGUAGUUGUCUAGUCAGGGUUUUUAUUGCUGUGGUGAAACGCCAUGACCAAGGAAGAAAGGGUUUAUUUCCCUUACACAUCCAGGCCACAGUUCAUCACUGAGGGAAGUCAGGGCAGGAACUCAAGCAGGACAGGAACCUGGAGGCAGGAGUGUAGCAGAAGCUAUGAAAGAACACUGCUUGCGGCUUCCUCAACUGACUUCUUGUCAACUUGUCACACAUAUGUGUCACCGUUAAACAUCAUUUUCUAUUCUUCUCCAUCCCCAAGAUUUCAAAUCACAAUAUAAAACAGCUGAACUUCCAGGGCUGGAGAGGUGGCUCAGAGGUUAAGAGCACUGGCUGCUCUUCCAGAGGUCCUGAGUUCAA